This is a long non-coding RNA of Planococcus citri (citrus mealybug), 2663 nucleotides long. RefSeq lists it as uncharacterized. Lineage: Eukaryota; Metazoa; Arthropoda; Insecta; Hemiptera; Pseudococcidae. The record is from RefSeq and is a predicted model, not a curated record. The transcript has 5 exons.
AAGCUUACCGUUCUGUUUGACAGUAAGAGUCAAUUCUGUUCUUGGUUGCGCAUCUCUGGCUGCUCUGAUUAAUUUCACCACUUGAUCGUGUUCGAGACCACUGAUACUACAUCCAUUGAUCAUAAGCACCUUCAGCUUACUUGAUCUCCCUCGUUUAAUUUUGGAUAACAGCGAUCCGCCGGAGUAUUCGGUGCAACUCUUGAAACCAGAAUUGGCAUAUUCAAAUCUGACCCACCCUUGACGUUGAACCCGAAUCUACCUUGAUCAUCAGGACGCUUCCAACCUGAGGAACUGGCGUUUCGUAAUUUGGAAUAUCGUACAGACUACCCGGAGCAUGAUGACUUCUUUCGGUCAAAGAAUCGGUGGUAUCAUCAUCAACGUAACUUAUAACUGUUCUAGAUGGUAAUAUAGGCGAAAACGCAGCAAUUUUUGUUUCCUCUGAGGUACCAUUUUGACGAUCCAAAAAUCCGCCUUCACUGUAAAUUCAAAACGCAAUAUUAUACUAUUCUGCUUCAUCGAUCAAUUCGAUAAAAUAAACUAAAUUUACGCACUCGUCGGAAGGAUGCGGAGAUGAAGUUUCACCCCAAGUUUGUCGAGAAUUUUCCCAAUUUCCAAUCACUUUUUCUUGAGCUCGAGUAUUUAGACCAGAUGAAAUCAAUGACUUAGUUUUUUCUUCAAUCGUAGGCAUCACGGAAUGACGUGUACCAACUUUGGAAGUAGUUCUACGAGAGAAUAAUGUAAUACCGAUUGGUCAAUAAAAUUAGCAGGAACGAAGCACAGAAGAAUGAGUCAAAUAUACCUGAAAAAAUGACGCUGAGAUCUGCCUUGUCUGCUUUCUUCCAAUGUUUGAAAUUCCGUACGACCAGAAUAACGAAAUUUAGAACCUAACCGAAGAGCUGUGGGGAUUAAUUUUCGAAUUACAUGAGGCGAAUCUAAUCUGAAAAACGUAUGAUGUUCGACACACGACUUCCAUAGAUUUUUUGAUGAUCUGUGGAAAAUAUUACAGGCUCUCUACGUAUCUGGACGAAAAACUGUUUUCUUUUGAACGAUAUUUUAACUAUUUUGGCCCAAGAAAUCGUGUUAAUACGAAUAUUGUUUUGGAAGACGACGAGUCCAUUGGCGGUAACUCCAAGUUGAAGUUCUUUAUUGGAAGAAUCCUGAGAAAAAAUAAUACAUUCAUUAUCAUCAUUACUAGGUCAGUAAUUAUUCGUAGAAAACUCGGUAUGACUCAGAGGAUCGUGAGAAUUACGGAGCAUCAUCACUAAAUAGAAUUCAAAGAUAAAGUAUUCGUUCAUAACUUUCAGACAAUGCACGAAUAAAAUAAUAUUUUCAAACUUACUCUAGCUCUAUGUAAAUCUACUCCAUAUGUUUCUAGACGUUUCACAUGAUCGAGAAAAUUGAAUUCAGCGUCAGCGGGAGUCUGUCCUCUGUAAAAUCAAUACCAUUUCAAUAUUAUUAUGUUCGAACUGAGCAAAUGAAACACGAUCUCUACGUACUUAUGCAUUUUAUGCAAUUCUGAUAUUUUUCGCUCCAUUUCUUCUGUUUGUCCAGGAACCAAAACCAUUCCCGAGAGAUAAUUUGGUUCCAGUUCUUCUAUUUGAUAAUCUCCCAGCUCGGCUGAAAAAAUGAUAGAAUUCAACGGUAACAUGGAGAAAGAAAAAUUGAUAAUUGCAAAUCAGAAACAAUAAUAAGGAUCACUCACAUUGAACGGUGUAACUCGCUAAUAGACAUGCUGUGCUUGGAGACACUAACAAUUUACCCUGAAGAAUAUCCUUUCGUACUUGUAAGUAGAAAUGAUAUCUAGUAUAUUCUUCUUGUAAUUUACUCGGAUCAGUCACGUAAAAUUUAACUUUGAAAUAGAAACAUCCUCCUCGAGCUUGUUUUUUAACCGCUUUGUUGGGAUCCAGCCAUUUCUGUUCACGUUAAAAUAAUCAUUAACGCCCUGUAAACGAAUAAAGGAACCCACCCAAGAAAUACAACACUGCAGUACCGUGAGAUGGGUGUUAGAUAGCGACGGAGCUGAUCCAUUUUCAGUGAAUUGUAAGCCAAAGUAAUCUUUCUCAAUCAGUUCCAAAUGUUGGAAAACACAUUCGAGAAGAACGUUUCCUUUAGCAUGUUUCUGUAAAGAAAAAAUGCAAUCAAAACUUGUACUUUUUACGAAUUCCUUACCAAAUUAGAAAAAUUGAUAACUUACGUCUAACUGAAACGAAUGUUGAGUAUCAUCCAGAAACACUACAGUCACAUUUAGUGUUUUCAACCUGCCUCUAUCACGAGCCAGCUCAGAAGCUCUUACAUUAUAUGUUCCACUGGAGCCACCGAAUGUUCUACGAGAUACACUUUCUAACAUUCUACCACGAUCUUCCCCGGAUAAUCUUCAUUAGCCUAAAAAUGAUACAUUCAGAUUUAGGAUCAAAAACUUAGCAAUGAAAGAAAGAAAUGAAAAUAAAAACAAUAUAAAAAUUCAUAUCAAUCAAAACACUUGAAAAAAACGAUUGCAGCACGAAGAUCUGCCAAGCUUAAUGAGGUAAAAUCAUAAUAAAAAAGAAUGAGAUACAUGAAAAUGAUAAUUUACCUUCAAGUUCAUAUUUUGUGAUACCAAAGUGUUACAAAUUGCAUCGGAUUUUGGUGUUUGUUCGGAAGGAAAUUGACGAAAAAGAAGCUCA